Molecule: long non-coding RNA, 2452 nt
Organism: Onychostoma macrolepis
Lineage: Eukaryota; Metazoa; Chordata; Actinopteri; Cypriniformes; Cyprinidae
Exons: 9
Source: RefSeq, a predicted model, not a curated record
CCGACAAUAACGUGCAGGGUGUCAUAGAACUACAUUUAAAUAAAUUAAAUGUAUGAUUUAAUAAUAAUUUAAUUAGAUUUAAGUUAUUUAUUUAUGCAAUGUUCUAAUUUUAUAUGAUUAUUUAUGUAAAUUCUGCGUGACUGUGACGUGUUUUAAUGCGUGCGUGCUGAACGUUCGAGCCGCGUUGGUUCAAACACUGGAGCGGAGGGAGUUGCCAUGGAAACGGAGCGGCAACACAACGACUGACAAGCAGGAAGCUCCGUUUCUCGCUGCUGUUUUUACUGUUUUCGAAGAAAAACAAAAGCACGGCAAGAUGGGAGGCUCCAAAAUUUCACAAUUUCUGAAGGAGCCGCAGAUGGAGAAGUAAGGAACACAAGUGAACAGACUCAGAGCGGACCUCCUGUCGGACAACAUCUCCCAGGCACAAUGAACAAUAUGGUAGGUUACUAGAGAUUACACCAGUUCCAGUUUGGAUCCAGCCUGGCGUGUGAAGACGCCAACACUCACAAAGACUUCAGAUGAUGGCAACUAGAUGAACAUACAAAGCUGCCAAAUAAUCCUUAUAUUGUAAUCAUUGCCCUAAAAGGGAGGAACUUGUCAACAAAUCUACCUCACAGCGCAUCAAUGAAAGCAGUUUGGCAAUUACAGACGGGCGUGUUGGAUCAGGGUUAGAUCUGAAUUCUGCAGGUUUUCUGGAUUCCCAGUUGAAGACAUCAGUACAUCAGAUGUUGGCCUGGACAGCUGUAUCUACAGUACACCACACUGACCUCUGCUUUUGCAUAGAUGGCUGACUACUACCAUUAUUGGUAUUAUGUUCUAAGGCAGGGGUACUCAAGUUCAGAGGCCAAGCGGGCCGCAUUUAAACUACAUAUUGCUAUAAUAUAAAGCACAAAUUACAAUUUGCAUCAUCAGACUUUAUUUAAGACAAUAUUUGCAGAUUUACUGAUUUAGAAAUACAGUUUCAGAAUCAGAAUCAGAAUUAGCUUUAUUCGCCAGGUGUGCGCAAACACACGAGGAAUUUGUUGUGGUUUUAAGGUGCUCCUGGUACAUACAUACAUACAUAAAUACACAUGUGACAUGAGAACAGAAAAAAAACAUUUAAAUAGUAAGACUUAACAAUGGAUAAUAAUCCUAAUAAUAAUAAGUAUGAAUCUGGAACAGUAGAUUUAUGUACAGAUUUGUGCAUUAUUUACUCUAUAUACAGCUGUAUAGAUAAACAUAUGUAUGUGUAUUUACGUAAUACUUGAGAGGGAGACAAUAAUUAAAGAUGGAGAAUGAAUUACAGAAUGAAUUACAGAACACAGGUAAUGAUCCACGUGUUAGCUAUUUAAGCUGGAGAUGGCAUGGGGGAAAAAACUGUUUUUAUGCCUAGAUGUUCUAGUGCACAGAGAUCUGUAGCGUCUGCCUGAAGGGAGAAGUGCAAACAAGUUGUGUCCGGGGUGAGAGGGGUCUUUGAUGAUGUUACCUGCCCGUUUCUUCACUCUGGAGUUGUACAAGUCCUGAAGGCUGGGCAGGUGCACACCAAUGAUCUUUUCUGCUGUCCUAACAGUCCGUUGAAGUCUUCUUAGAUCUGAUUUGCUGGCUGACCCAAACCAGACAGUUAUGGAGGAGCACAGAACCGACUCAAUAACAGCUGAAUAAAACUGUUUUCACGAUGGAGUCAAUGUGAUUGUCCCACUUCAGGUCCUGAGAGAUGGUGGUGCCCAGGAACCUGAAUGACUCCACUGCAGCCACAGUGCUGUUCAUGAUGACUCGUCGCCGUCCUGGAUGAGGCCGAUGACUGUGGUGUCGUCUGCAAACUUCAGGAGUUUGACAGAGGGGUCUUUAGAGGUGCAGUCGUUGGUGUAGAGGGAGAAGAGUAGUGGGGAGAGAACGCAGCCCUGAGGAGCUCCAGUGCUGAUGGUGCGGGUGCUGGAUGUGUGUUUUCCCAGCCUCACUAGCUGCUGCCUGUCUGUCAGGAAGCUGGUGAUCCACUGACAGAUGGAGGAGGGAAAGGUGACAAAGGGGGGAGAUGGGGAGAGAAGAAGCGCCCUGGAUGAAAUGAAAUUAAAAGCUAUAAUGGAUGCAGUUAUGUCCGUUUCGGUUGGCCAGAUCGGAACAGCCCUGAAUGGGAAGAUGGCAGAGCUAAGACUGGCAAUGUCCAGGAAAAAUGUUAAUCAAAAAUGAGUGUUUCCCCAGUGAGUGAGUUUGGGAAUAUUUUGAAAUGAAAUACUGAGGGAAAAAAGUGAGCGCUUUGAAAAGGCUUUAAAAAUAAAAUAAAGUCUGAAGUUGAAGUUAAAUGAAGUUAAAGUUUUUACUUGAAAAGUGUGUAGUUGUCAAGUCUGUGCUGAAAAAAAUGCAUUAAAGUUUGUAUUUGAAAAGACUGAAUUGUGUGUUCUGUGGAAUGAGUACAAAUAUAUGUGCAGGCUGUAUAAAAAACAUAGUUGUGCCACUAAUAUAAGUGAAAGUACAU